Molecule: ribosomal RNA, 397 nt
Filed under: uncultured bacterium
Lineage: Bacteria
Description: bacterial SSU rRNA
Rfam family: Bacterial small subunit ribosomal RNA
Source: RNAcentral
AUGAACGCUAGCGGCAGGCUUAAUACAUGCAAGUCGAGGGGCAGCACGAAUAGCAAUAUUUGGUGGCGACCGGCAAACGGGUGCGGAACACGUACGCAACCUUCCCAGAACAGGUGAAUAGCCCUCCGAAAGGAGGAUUAAUACACCGUAAGAUAUAGUGGUGGCAUCACGAUUAUAUUAUAGGCCGCAAGGUCGGUUUUGGAUGGGCGUGCGCCUGAUUAGGUAGUUGGUGUGGGAACGGCCCACCAAGCCUUCGAUCAGUAACUGGUGUGAGAGCACGACCAGUCACACGGGCACUGAGACACGGGCCCGACUCCUACGGGAGGCAGCAGUAAGGAAUAUUGGUCAAUGGACGCAAGUCUGAACCAGCCAUGCCGCGUGAAGGAUGACUGCCCUC